RNAcentral lists this ribosomal RNA (1339 nucleotides) under uncultured bacterium. RNAcentral's name for it is "bacterial SSU rRNA". It matches the Rfam family "Bacterial small subunit ribosomal RNA", at positions 27 to 1381 of the family's 1533-position model. The record is from RNAcentral.
GGAUGAACGCUGACAGAAUGCUUAACACAUGCAAGUCUAUGAGAAGAUCUACUUCGGUAGAAGGUAUCAUGGCGGACGGGUGAGUAACGCGUAAAGAACUUGCCUCAUAGACUGGGAUAACAGAUGGAAACGUCUGAUAAGACUAGAUAUAAUAGCGACAUGGCAUCAUGUUGUUAUGAAAGGUAACACUAAGAGAGAGCUUUGCGUCCUAUUAGUUAGUUGGUGAGGUAAUGGCUCACCAAGACGAUGAUAGGUAGCCGGCCUGAGAGGGUGAACGGCCACAAGGGGACUGAGAUACGGCCCUUACUCUUACGGGAGGCAGCAGUGGGGAAUAUUGGACAAUGGAGGAAACUCUGAUCCAGCAAUUCUGUGUGCACGAUGAAGGUUUUCGGAUCGUAAAGUGCUUUCAGUAGGGAAGAAGAAAGUGACGGUACCUACAGAAGAAGCGACGGCUAAAUACGUGCCAGCAGCCGCGGUAAUACGUAUGUCGCAAGCGUUAUCCGGAAUUAUUGGGCGUAAAGGGCAUCUAGGCGGUCAAUCAAGUCGAAGGUGAAAACUUGUGGCUCAACCAUAAGCUUGCCUACGAAACUGAUUAACUAGAGUACUGGAGAGGUGGACGGAACUACACGAGUAGAGGUGAAAUUCGUAGAUAUGUGUAGGAAUGCCGAUGAUGAAGAUAGUUCACUGGACAGAAACUGACGCUGAAGUGCGAAAGCUAGGGGAGCAAACAGGAUUAGAUACCCUGGUAGUCCUAGCUGUAAACGAUGAUCACUGGGUGUGGGCAGGAAGACUGUCUGUGCCGAAGCUAACGCGAUAAGUGAUCCGCCUGGGGAGUACGACCGCAAGGUUAAAACUCAAAGGAAUUGACGGGGGCCCGCACAAGCAGUGGAGCGUGUGGUUUAAUUCGAGGCAACGCGCAGAACCUUACCAGGGUUUGACAUCAUACCGACGUCUGUAGAAACACAGAUUUCCGCUUAGGCGGACGGUAUGACGGGUGUUGCAUGGUUGUCGUCAGCUCGUGUCGUGAGAUGUUGGGUUAAGUCCCGCAACGAGCGCAACCCCUAUCCAAUGUUGCCAACAGGUAAAGCUGGGGACUCAUUGGAGACUGCCGGAGACGAUCUGGAGGAAGGUGGGGAUGAGGUCAAAUCAUCAUGGCCCUUAAGCCCUGGGCUACACACGCGCUACAAUGGCCGGUACAACGGGCAGCGAAGGAGCGAUCCGGAGCGAAUCCCAAAAAGCCGGCCCCAGUUGGAAUCGCAGGCUGCAACUCGCCUGCGUGAACAUGGAAUUGCUAGUAAUCGCGAAUCAGCUACGUCGCGGUGAAUACGUUCCCGGGCCU